Molecule: ribosomal RNA, 292 nt
Filed under: uncultured bacterium
Lineage: Bacteria
Description: partial 16S ribosomal RNA
Rfam family: Bacterial small subunit ribosomal RNA
Source: RNAcentral
GUGUCAGCCGCCGCGGUAAUACGUAGGUGGCAAGCGUUGUCCGGAUUUACUGGGCGUAAAGGAUGCGUAGGCGGACUUUUAAGUGGGAUGUGAAAUUCCGAGGCUCAACCUCGGCGCUGCAUUCCAAACUGGAAGUCUAGAGUGCGGGAGAGGAAAGUGGAAUUCCUAGUGUAGCGGUGAAAUGCGUAGAGAUUAGGAAGAACACCAGUGGCGAAGGCGACUUUCUGGACCGUAACUGACGCUGAUGCAUGAAAGCGUGGGGAGCAAACAGGAUUAGAUACCCGUGUAGUCC